This 210-nucleotide ribosomal RNA is filed under the name Pediococcus pentosaceus. Its description in RNAcentral is "partial 16S ribosomal RNA". It matches the Rfam family "Bacterial small subunit ribosomal RNA", at positions 68 to 273 of the family's 1533-position model. The record is from RNAcentral. Lineage: Bacteria; Bacillati; Bacillota; Bacilli; Lactobacillales; Lactobacillaceae.
UACUGAUUGAGAUUUUAACACGAAGUGAGUGGCGAACGGGUGAGUAACACGUGGGUAACCUGCCCAGAAGUAGGGGAUAACACCUGGAAACAAUGCUAAUACCGUAUAACAGAGAAAACCGCAUGGUUUUCUUUUAAAAGAUGGCUCUGCUAUCACUUCUGGAUGGACCCGCGGCGUAUUAGCUAUUGGUGAGGUAAAGGCUCACCAAGG